CCGAAGGUCGAAGGAAGAAAUUCAUUCGUGAAUCACCAUUGACAGAAUUGUGUAUGUUAGACAAUAUAUAUAUGGAACUGAUUAUUCUAUUAAUUUAGGAUAAUUGGAUUUAUUUUCUUUUUAUUGCUACAUAUCUAUUUUGAUUCUGAUAGUGAACACGUGCAUUUUUCUUCUGGUAGGACGUCGCGAUCCGUUAGGAUAAAUUUUUAUCGGUCUAUGAUAUAUGGUUAUAGUUCAUUGAUACAUAUAUAAUUUUUAUUGUAUAUGAUAAUAUUAAUGAAUCUAUAUAUUCUGGCUGAUUUACCUGACGGUAUAGUGAAUGGUUAAGGGUCGCUUGCUAUAUAGCGUUAGAGGUUAGACAAGUGUAGUAAUUGUUAAAAAACAUUAUUAUUAUUAUUUUUAUAAUGAUAAUGAUAGUGUUGGUCGGUAAUCGGUAUUUAUAUCAAUUCCGAGCUAUUAUUAUACUGUUGGUCUAGCAUAUCUCUGACUGACCUUAUUAUUUUUUUUUAAAAAGUAAUACCAAUCAGCGACGCUAUAGCUUUGGGUACUUUCAGGACCCGUCUUGAAACACGGACCAAGGAGUCUAGCAUGUUCGCAAGCCAUUGGGAUUUUUUUUAAACCUAUAGGCAAAAUGAAAGUAAAAUUAAUCAUCAAUUCUUUUUUUUGAGAAUUGAUGAUAGGGAAGAUGAAUAAUGAUAUUUCGUAAAGUUUUUUUUUUAAUUUUAUGAAACAUUAUUUCGCAUUCCCGGGGCGUUUAUAUUUCAUUCAUUAUGAAUGAGAUUAUGCGCACCAAGAGUGUACACGCUGGGACCCGAAAGAUGGUGAACUAUGCCUGGUCAGGACGAAGUCAGGGGAAACCCUGAUGGAGGUCCGUAGCGAUUCUGACGUGCAAAUCGAUCGUCGGAACUGGGUAUAGGGGCGAAAGAC
This 927-nucleotide ribosomal RNA is filed under the name Platypus quercivorus. RNAcentral's name for it is "partial 28S large subunit ribosomal RNA". The stretch from base 574 to 927 matches the Rfam family "Eukaryotic large subunit ribosomal RNA", at positions 665 to 931 of the family's 3401-position model. The record is from RNAcentral. Lineage: Eukaryota; Metazoa; Arthropoda; Insecta; Coleoptera; Curculionidae.